GGGAGAUCGUGGAGAAGGUCAGCCUGGCCCCAGGGGACCCCCAGGGCCUCCAGGACCCCCAGGACCAGGACUUAGAUCUGUGAGUUGGUUCUGGCCCCUGUUAGAUCCUGUUUGAUGUAUACUUUGUUGAACAUGGCUGAUUUCACAUCAUGUGUUUCAGACCUUCGUGGACAUGGAGGGCUCAGGAUACCCUGAUCUUGAAUCCAUUCGGGGACUGCCAGGGCUACCGGGUCCCCCUGGUCCUCCCGGUCCCCCUGGUGUUGCUGGAUCCUCUACAGGCAGUGCAGCAUCAAGCUCUGGAGCAUUUGGACCAGCAGGAAAAGACGGGGCACCUGGUCAGCCUGGCUUGCCUGGUUUACCGGGUACUGAUGGCCUCCCAGGAGCUCCUGGUCCUCAGGGAGAAAAGGU
Long non-coding RNA from Parambassis ranga (Indian glassy fish), 408 nucleotides. NCBI's taxonomy places the organism in Eukaryota, Metazoa, Chordata, Actinopteri, Ambassidae. The record is from Ensembl.